CGGAGUGGCGAACGGGUGAGUAAUAUAUCGGAACGUACCGAGUAAUGGGGGAUAACUAAUCGAAAGAUUAGCUAAUACCGCAUAUUCUCUGAGGAGGAAAGCAGGGGACCUUCGGGCCUUGCGUUAUUCGAGCGGCCGAUAUCUGAUUAGCUAGUUGGUGGGGUAAAGGCCUACCAAGGCGACGAUCAGUAGCGGGUCUGAGAGGAUGAUCCGCCACACUGGGACUGAGACACGGCCCAG
RNAcentral lists this ribosomal RNA (240 nucleotides) under uncultured Neisseriales bacterium. RNAcentral's name for it is "partial 16S ribosomal RNA". It matches the Rfam family "Bacterial small subunit ribosomal RNA", at positions 91 to 334 of the family's 1533-position model. The record is from RNAcentral. Lineage: Bacteria; Pseudomonadati; Pseudomonadota; Betaproteobacteria; Neisseriales.